AGUGAACGCUGGCGGUAGGCCUAACACAUGCAAGUCGAACGGCAGCACAGUAAGAGCUUGCUCUUACGGGUGGCGAGUGGCGGACGGGUGAGGAAUACAUCGGAAUCUACUUUUUCUUGGGGGAUAACGUAGGGAAACUUACGCUAAUACCGCAUACGACCUACGGGUGAAAGCAGGGGAUCUUCGGACCUUGCGCGAUUGAAUGAGCCGAUGUCGGAUUAGCUAGUUGGGGGGGUAAAGGCCCACCAAGGCGACGAUCCGUAGCUGGUCUGAGAGGAUGAUCAGCCACACUGGAACUGAGACACGGUCCAGACACCUACGGGAGGCAGCAGUGGGGAAUAUUGGACAAUGGGCGCAAGCCUGAUCCAGCCAUACCGCGUGGGUGAAGAAGGCCUUCGGGUUGUAAAGCCCUUUUGUUGGGAAAGAAAAGCAGCAGGUUAAUACCCCGAUGUUCUGACGGUACCCAAAGAAUAAGCACCGGCUAACUUCGUG
This 492-nucleotide ribosomal RNA is filed under the name uncultured bacterium. Its description in RNAcentral is "partial 16S ribosomal RNA". It matches the Rfam family "Bacterial small subunit ribosomal RNA", at positions 29 to 507 of the family's 1533-position model. The record is from RNAcentral.